CUGAGGUUGCACAGCGAAGUGAGACACUCCAUAUGCAUCUUGUUGAGGCACCAAGGCGGACCAAACUUUCCUUAACUUUUCGCUUACAUAACAAGC
RNAcentral lists this non-coding RNA (96 nucleotides) under Ditylum brightwellii. Lineage: Eukaryota; Bacillariophyta; Thalassiosirophyceae; Lithodesmiales; Lithodesmiaceae. The record is from RNAcentral.